UGACCUGAAUUUUUGAUAUGUUUCACUUCUGUUAGUUAACAAAGGAUCUGGAAAGUUUCAUCGCAUUUCGACGUAAAGUGAAUGUUCUGUGAAUUUUCCAAGUUUGGUCUGUAAUUGAGAAAGUUCCAGAAUUUUAAAUGUUCCUCUGAUUUUCUGUUGAGAUUUGAACUUCUACUUGAAUCAUUUAAGUUCUGGUUUUUCUGUAUAUUGAACUAGACAUCCCAAUGCUUGUUUGAAAACUAAUUCCUUGUCAUUUGGAUUUGCAAUGAAUUUUUGGUGAAUUUUCGAAGUUGACCAUGCUGCUGAGAAAGUAUGUGUGGAGAUAUUCAUAGACUGUUAACUCAGUAAUUUGACUUGGAUUUGACAAUCUUAUUUCAAAUGUCAUUUACAAUUUUAGGAAAAUCUACUCAAGUUUUGCAUAUUAUCACAUUUCUUAAAAGGAUAAACAGAUAAGAUGGAAGGCUAGCUGUUUCAGGAUUUCCAAAACUAGUAUAACUAGAACUAAAGUGUGCCACAUUUUUGAAUGAGUGAUCAUCAGCUUUUGGAUUGUUCCGAUCAAUCUUCAUCCUUUAUUUUCUGUGAAUUUAAGUAAUCGCAAGAUUUGAUUCACUUACUUCUCUGUUUCAUAUCCUAUUGAACUUCUUGUUCACUCUGGCUUGAAGAAGGUUCUUCAACAAUGGCUUGCUUGAGGCUAGGAUAGACUCCACAGAGGAGACAUCAGGCCUCCCUUGGUCUGGUUUGAAGUCAACUAUGGCCUUCUUCUGCUCUUCAGGAAGAUAGCUGCAGGUUUCCAAAGGCUUUCAUGGCAACCAAAAGUACCUCCUCCUCAGUUUUUCCUUCUUCCUCUUCUUCAUAUCCACCUUGGACCUAUGAUGUCUUCCUCAGCUUCAGAGGUGAGGACACCAGUAAAAGCUUUAC
This is a long non-coding RNA of Rosa chinensis, 918 nucleotides long. RefSeq lists it as uncharacterized. NCBI's taxonomy places the organism in Eukaryota, Viridiplantae, Streptophyta, Magnoliopsida, Rosales, Rosaceae. The transcript has 3 exons. The record is from RefSeq and is a predicted model, not a curated record.